RNAcentral lists this ribosomal RNA (387 nucleotides) under uncultured eukaryote. RNAcentral describes it as "bacterial SSU rRNA". It matches the Rfam family "Bacterial small subunit ribosomal RNA", at positions 105 to 524 of the family's 1533-position model. The record is from RNAcentral.
GGUGAGUAACGCGUAAGAACCAGCCCUUGGGAGGGGAACAACAACUGGAAACGGUUGCUAAUACCCCGUAGGCUGAGGAGCAAAAGGAGAAAUCCGCCCAAGGAGGGGCUCGCGUCUGAUUAGCUAGUUGGUGAGGCAAUAGCUUACCAAGGCGAUGAUCAGUAGCUGGUCCGAGAGGAUGAUCAGCCACACUGGGACUGAGACACGGCCCAGACUCCUACGGGAGGCAGCAGUGGGGAAUUUUCCGCAAUGGGCKAAAGCCUGACGGAGCAAUGCCGCGUGGAGGUGGAAGGCCUACGGGUCGUCAACUUCUUUUCUCGGAGAARAAACAAUGACGGUAUCUGAGGAAUAAGCAUCGGCUAACUCUGUGCCAGCAGCCGCGGUAAU